CUUGAGGGCGCCGACCAGCAGCGGGGUGUCGUCCGCCCGUUCCUGGCCGUAGGUGGCGAGCAGCGCCUGCGCCUC
This 75-nucleotide antisense RNA is filed under the name Streptomyces sp. CB02488. Its description in RNAcentral is "ASpks TB sRNA". It matches the Rfam family "ASpks TB sRNA". Lineage: Bacteria; Bacillati; Actinomycetota; Actinomycetes; Kitasatosporales; Streptomycetaceae. The record is from Rfam by way of RNAcentral.